AUUGAACGCUGGCGGAAUGCUUUACACAUGCAAGUCGAACGGCAGCACGGGGGCAACCCUGGUGGCGAGUGGCGAACGGGUGAGUAAUACAUCGGAACGUGCCCAGUCGUGGGGGAUAACGUAGCGAAAGCUACGCUAAUACCGCAUACGAACUGAGGUUGAAAGCGGGGGAUCGCAAGACCUCGCGCGAUUGGAGCGGCCGAUGGCAGAUUAGGUAGUUGGUGGGGUAAAGGCUCACCAAGCCGACGAUCUGUAGCUGGUCUGAGAGGACGACCAGCCACACUGGGACUGAGACACGGCCCAGACUCCUACGAGAGGCAGCAGUGGGGAAUUUUGGACAAUGGGCGCAAGCCUGAUCCAGCCAUUCCGCGUGCAGGAUGAAGGCCCUCGGGUUGUAAACUGCUUUUGUAC
This 411-nucleotide ribosomal RNA is filed under the name uncultured bacterium. RNAcentral describes it as "bacterial SSU rRNA". It matches the Rfam family "Bacterial small subunit ribosomal RNA", at positions 30 to 441 of the family's 1533-position model. The record is from RNAcentral.